RNAcentral lists this long non-coding RNA (3580 nucleotides) under Homo sapiens (human). Its description in RNAcentral is "non-protein coding GASAL1:28". Lineage: Eukaryota; Metazoa; Chordata; Mammalia; Primates; Hominidae. The record is from RNAcentral.
ACUGACCAGGUCACCUGCAGCGCGGGCUGACGGCGGGCGACUGAAGGAGGGAGCAAGUCUCCCACCCCCAGCAGCCGGCGGCCGCUUCCGAAGUCUGCCCCCUUCCACUGCGGAGCGGCGCCCCGCGGGCCCCCAGCCAGCGCGCCCGAGGCGCCCCCGCCCCGUGUCGCUCGCGCUGCGUUAUUGGGAGAAGGCGGUUCCUGAGCACCAGCACGGGCCUCGGUGACACCGGAGGUCGCUGGGGUCUUCCCCUUCCCCUUAAGACUCUGGGUCUGUCUGUGGGAAGAGCUUUCAUUCCCCACCCCACUCUAUGCCGACCCUCUCCGGGGGAGGCUCCACUGGCACUGUAGACACCACGUGCUGGGUAAAAAGGCCUGGUCCCAGCGCUUCCCUGUCACUGACUGCUAACCACAAGGCGCCGUGGCACUCAGGAAAUGCGGCAGGGGGGCUGGAGAACUAUCAGGAAGGGGUGUGGGCAGAGAAGAGGCUUCCACCCUGUCUUGGAACACGGACACAGUCCAUGGCAUUCAAAAGAGGUGGGAGGCUCCUCUGUGCACGUGCCUUCCGCCCCCGGGACAGGUGGAGGAGGGGAUUUGACUGGUCCUCACCCUCUGCAUUUAUAGUCUGGGCACACCUUGGGCAGUGCCGCAGGAGGGCGCUGUGGAGUACAGGCACAUGCAGAAGGUGUGGCGAGGGCUUCCUGGUGGAGCUGGCAGUAGGGCAGGGACCUUGAAAAGGAAUGAUUUGAACAGAUCGGAAAAGACAUUCCAGACAGAAACAAAUGCCUGAAACCCAAACCGAGAAGCAGGAAAGAGCAGACUGCGUUCUCGGAAUGGCAGGGAGUCCAGUUUGACUGGAAGACCUGAGGCUCAGAGGCGCAUCACGGCCCAGAUGCAGACCACAGAGGCAGGCACAGUGGCCCAGGAGGACCGAGGACCUGGAGUCACGGGGUUCCGCCCGCUGCCCCUGGGGAACCGAGUCAUGCCAGUUCCCAGACAGAUGAAUUCCUUCCAAGAAUUCCACAGUCCUGCUCAAUCCUAGCCGCCAAGCCUCCUGGCCUUGGAUGGCUGCUGUCUAAUGCAGAUCCUCUUUCAUCCAGAUUUCAAAUAUUUUUCCUAUUCUGUCCUUUGAUCACUAACGUUUAUGUUUAUCUACAUCAGCAUCCCUCAAUCCUGACGGCACUCUGAAAUUAUCUAGGGGUGCUUUAAAAAAGAAAAAUGUUGAUGCAUGGCCCUCCUCCAGGAAAUCUGAUUUUAUUGGUCUGGGGUGGGGCCCAGGCAUCAGCAGACUUUUAAUGAGCAGUUAGAGAGGAGAACCACUGAUGGAGAUGGUCACCAGGGAGUGUCCAGGUCAGACCGCCACAGAAGAGUGCAGCCUCCUGGCCUUCAGACCCAACUGGGACAAACCCUGAGAACAGCCUUGGCAGACCUCCAGGGGCAGCUGGACUCCCUGAGGCUGGAUGUUGCAGCCUCUCCCAGGCAUCCACUCUGCAGCUGAGGCCAAAGUUUCCAACGGGAAGGGAGGGUGAGGCUUCUAUUUGUUUCCCAAGAGCCAGCUGACCUUUGAAGCUAGUGAUAACCACCACAAACCUCACUGGUGGGAGAACGAGGCACUGCAGCCAGUUCUCAUCAACCCCACAUCCCUGCAGGGGGCCCCAAGGCGGAUGUGUCACCAUCCUCUGCAACGCUGGGCCUCAGAGGUGGAGGAGGCCCAGCCAUGGCCAGAUGGGGGAUCUGGGGAACAGGUCCUCUGCUUUCUGGGAAAAUAGAGGAGAGUCUCCGAGUCUGGGCCUUGCCACUCCUCACUCAGCAUCUGACCAUCCCCACCUCCUGGAUCUACAGGGUUCAUAGAGGAGGACCCAGAAGAGGGAAAGUCAGGCUGAGGAACUUGGCCUCCCUGCUGCAAGGGAAAUGACAUCGGUUACCAAGGAGGUGACCAGCUAUCCUUUUCCAAGACUGAAAAGCAGAAAUACGGCCCUGAGGCUAGAGGGUCUAAGAGAACAAUAGGAAGAAUUUCCUGACAAAGGACAAUGUUGCCUAAAGGACUCAGGAAGCUCUGUGAAAACAGGAGACUCCCGAGCAGAGCACCAGACCCUUCUCCACCAGGCAGUGUUUUUCCCAUAUGACAGGUGAGAAAACUGAGGCUGAGAGACAUGUAAUAACUUGCUGAAGCAGCAACCAGCACACCAUAUAGCUGAAAUCUGUAGAUCAGCAGUUAAAAGUGGUAGGGCAAGUCCUCUCUGACUUUCAGCGCUAAGAGCCUAGGAUUCUGUGUUUUUCUGCUUAAGCCUGGGAAUCAGAGUCCUACAAAAGCCGCGCCUAAUCCUGGGGGUGUGGGCUUUAAACCCAGAGAGAAAGCAUGUUAUUGGAAUACUCCUGCACUUUUCUCCCUUUGAAUCCCACCACGGAAAGAAAAUUCUGUGACGUGUACCCAGUAUUUAUUGGAGGGUAUUUCCUAGCAAGAAAAUGAGGGCGAUUGACCAGGCACGGUGGCUCACGCCUGUAAUCCCAGCACUUUGGGAGGUCAAGGUGAGUGGAUCACAUGAGGUCAGGAGUUCGAGACCAGCCUGACCAACAUGGAGAAACCCCGUCUCUACUAAAAAUACAAAAUUAGCCGGGCGUGGGGUGGCGCAUGCCUGUAAUUCCAGCUACUCCUGAGGCUGUGGCAGCAGAAUCGCUUGAACCCGGGAGACAGAGGUUGCAGUGAGUUGAGAUCAAGCCAUCGCACUCCAGCCUGGGCAACAGAGUGAGACUCUGUCAAAAAAGAAAGUGUGGUACAUCUAUACUAAUGGAGUACUAUUUAGCCGUCAAAGAAAAAAAAGAAAAGAAAAAGAAAGAGAAAGAAAGAAAGAAGGAAAGAAAGAAAGAAAAAGAAAAUGAAGGCGAUUGUCAACAGCCUCUGGAAAUACAGAGCAGGGUCCAGAAAUGGCCCCUUCUUAGAUGGCGGGCUGGACAGUGCUGCUCCUUCUUAGCCACUGGCGGCAGAAAGACAAAGCCUGGUAAUUGUUCUUGGGAUUCUCCCUGUCACCUCUCCUUGUAGGUCACAAGCUUCCUGAUGCGACAGCCCGUGGGACUACUAGAAGGAAAGAUACUCCUUUUCCCAUUUUACAGAUCAGGAAACUGAGACUGGACAGAAACACCACCAGGAUUGAACUGUGAAUGGAUCUGACUCCAACCCACAAAUUCUUCACCUGGUCUCGAAAAGAGGCCCUGGCAACCUACUGCGCACCAGAGGGGAACCCGCCCGCCGUCCCAGGCCGGGCUCUCCCUGCUGCGGAGCGGCCCGGGCGCGGCGGGACAGGGAACGGAAGGAACGGGCUUGGCGCGCACUCGCCGAGGCCCAGGCAGGAUUCGAGCGCCAGGGAGGCGCCCAUUUCCCUUCCCCCGCGCCUGGGAACGCGGUGCUGGGGGCGGGGCCCGACCGCUGCCCCCUCCAAACGCCUCGACCGCCAGGUGCCCCGAAGCCCGGCCUCCCCUCCCACCCCCGCGCCUGUUCCCGGCGCAGCCCGAGCCGUGGCAGUCACGUCUCCCCAUCCGGCCCCAAAGAACCAUGGCGCGGACGGAAAAACGAAGCCAUGGUG